Non-coding RNA from Chiloscyllium plagiosum (whitespotted bambooshark), 2770 nucleotides. The record is from RefSeq and is a predicted model, not a curated record. Lineage: Eukaryota; Metazoa; Chordata; Chondrichthyes; Orectolobiformes; Hemiscylliidae.
UGGAGCAGCAACUACCUUCACUGCGCAGCAUAAAAGAAGCAGAGAGCUUUCUGAAACAAUUGUGGCAGUGAGUGGUCACUCCAUAUCAUAAUAGGCAGGCAAAGAGGAGUACAGAGAUGACAAGUGAGUGGGUGACCAUUCUCGAAAAGGAAAAACAGGUCCAGGAAACGCAGGACUUCUUGGAGUUGUCAAACAGCAUGACUGAGAAUGACUCCCACCUGGUCCUGGAGUCUUCGAUGAAGGCGACGAUCGUUUCUUGGAGUUUGUUGAUCACGGAGAUCAGGCUCACCUCUGCAAGGAGAACCUCUUCGCUUGUCAUGACAUUGGUCUGACACAGGCCACUGCAGGAGCACACUGGACUUGGGGGAAUCAACUGAAUAAUGAUCUGACUCUGCUGGACACUUCAGAAUAACAAUUCCAAGAAGAAAAUCAUCCUGAAGAUUGUCAUGCUCUAAUCCACCCAAAUAGCAACAGAGGCGUUUCACGUGCAUUUGAUGAUAAGCCAGAAAUACCUAUUUGUGGGGAAAGACCCCUGCACAUGUGUGCAGCAGGCUGUGCAUGUCACAAGGUCAACACGUGAGACAUUGCAUCGGACAACAAGGCACUCUUCCCAAUCUGCUAAGGAGGAUUAAGCAUUGCUACUUCCAAGAGGUUUCAAUCAUAUAGAUCAAAGUUUCAAGGAACCCACUUAUAACUUGAGGAAUAUUGUCUUACACAGCAUCAACACUCUGCAAUCUAUUUUGGUGUGCAUGGCAUCUUGUGGGACACUGCAGUAUAACUCUCAUAAGAGAAGAGAUGUCUCAAACCUGUACCUGAGAGUAAGUUCACAUUCUGCCAUGCAGACUCGGCACUUAAAUGUGUCCUGGUCUACAGAGAAGCAGACUUCUGCCUGCCUUUGGAGAGGCUGGCAGUGAAAACUGGUAUAAUGUUUCUUCUUAUGAAUGGAUGGAUUAUAUUGUGGCCAAAAUGACUGAAUGAAGAGUAGCUCAGUAUUUCUCAAACUAAAUAAAAAUCCCAAAGUAUUCAGAAAAUUCUAAGAUAUAAAGCUGAUUGUCAACAGGUUGUCUUAAUGAUAAAAAUGAUAUCUCAACAUCCACUUACACCACUUGCUGACAGAUGCCACUGUAUUAUGUUCAUGAGCAGGAAUCCCAAUUGAUACUUCUUUACCUUGACCCAGGGCAUUCGUGCAAAUUGAUUAAACCUUAGGACUGUCAUUAGUAAGAUCAGCUAAUUUUUCAGAGGAUCUUGGGCCUCUAAGUAGUCUAUGACUUAUAAAUGCAAAAUGUUAUAUAUUUACAUACUAUAUUGAAGGAAAGUAGUAAAAUUACUAUUUAAGGUAUCAGUCAUGGUUCAACGGGCACCUUUCUUGCCUCUGAUUCAGAAGUUUGGGGGCUGGACCAGCCCAGAGACCUGAGCACAAAAUCAAUGUUGACAUUCUAGUGCAUCACUAAGAGAUAGUGUGAUCAUUCAUGAGACAAUAAAUAAAAAGGCCUGUUUCUCCUUGAAGAACAGAAACAGAGUUUUCCAGUGUUCAGACCAAUAUCUUUCAAACAACGCCACUAAAACAGGUUAUACAGUCAUUACCACAAAGUUGCUUGCAGGAUCUUGUGUACAAAUUCACUGCUAUAUUUUAUCAGUAACUACAUUGAAAUAAGUACUUCAUUGAUUGUAACAUACUUUGAGAUGUCCCAAAGUUAUAAGUAAUGCUAGAUAAGUUUUUUGCUUUUGAACUUUAACUCAAAUAGAGUCUUUAGUAAUAUCCUCCAAGGACAUAUUAAUGAUUAUUUUCUGAAGUCUAUUUUAUUUUCAAGUAAAUGAAAUAGCAUUUAAUAUUUCAGAAGCAUUUCCUACCUUCGCCAUUGUUAUCAAUUUUUUAUACACUGGAGGUUUCAGUUCCAACUCUUUCAAGAGGUUCUGUUUCAUCUGGUGACAAUUGUUCAUUUACCUCUAAAUUCCGUUCUUCAAAAAUAUUGUGGUUAUCACUCUGUAUAGAUGGGAUAUUAUGAACAGAGUAUUGGAUAAUAUCCGUUGAUGUGAUGACAUUGCCAGCCUCCAAAGGCUCUUCUUCCAUUUUUUUGUCUUCUAUUGAUUAGUUAACACCUGCAUCUUCCUCUGUGUAUUCAUCAUCAAAUGAAGGAGUAGGAGAAGUUCUGAAGAUUGAAGAAGGUGAAGAAUACUCAGGUGUAGGUACAGGUGUAGGUGUAGGUGUAUGUUUGACUGAAUCCAAAGGUGUAGAUGGGUGUAUAGAUGUUUCUUGGGCCUCAAGUGCUUUGAGAGAAAUUUUCAAAGUAUUAGCAUCUACCCUUUUCCCUAAGUCUGUGGUUGGGAAUUCUGGUUUGAAUUCAUCCUGCAUGGUCGAAGUGGCACUUGUAUUGGACCCUUUUCUGCCAUUGAAGGAAGCAUCCAACUUUGGAGUUGAAACAGAACCUUCAAUUGCAGCAUCUCUGUCAUUUACAUUAUUUUCUGUAUGUAACAAUGCUUUACCAGUCAAACGUAACAAGGUGUCAUUACUCAUUUUAAUCUUUGCUGAAUCGUUGAUACUGGCAGAUUUCAAUUCUUGAGCCAGGUCCUUGCAGUGUAAGGAUUCUUUCAUACUUCUGUGGUGAGGUGAAAUUGUUUGGGAAGUGAUCAAACACUUUUCUGGGCAAACAGCAGCCUUCAUUCCAUGGGUUUGUCCAGUUACUUUCUUAGUCUGUUGAUUUUUUAUGUGUUGUACAGCAUUCAAAGGUUUGGUUGUCCCAUCAUCUAACAAAAAAUAUAUUUGUUGAUU